Non-coding RNA from Zonotrichia albicollis (white-throated sparrow), 445 nucleotides. NCBI's taxonomy places the organism in Eukaryota, Metazoa, Chordata, Aves, Passeriformes, Passerellidae. The record is from RefSeq and is a predicted model, not a curated record.
UUCAGUAGAGUUGCAGCGAGAGGAAUUUCUAGCUGCCAUUUGAUGGACAGUCUGAUCCUGGUUGGUUACUGUAAAACAUCAUCUGAAAUAGAAGCAUGGCAUAUUUUUAACUUCCUGACAUACACAGCACAGUCUGCUGCUGAGGAAUUUUCCUGUCCCCAAAGUGAUGAGCAGACAAGGCACCACUGAUGCUGCUCACGCUUUGCUCAGUGGGAGGUAAUGCAAAAAGCAGCUCAACAACAAAUAUUAUAUCAACAGCGUGCUGCUCCUUCUUUCCCUCUCCCAUCUCAGGUUCAGAGUUGGAAAGUGAUAACAGACACGACAGACUGCAAUCUUCUUCAAGCAAAAGGAGUGAAAAGAAGAAAAAUAAUUUGAGGAGCCCAGAACUGGACACCAAUAUUCACCUCAGGAGGGACUGAAAAACUACUUUUGGUUCAAGAAAAAG